CCUACGGGAGGCUGCAGUGGGGAAUCUUGCACAAUGGGGGAAACCCUGAUGCAGCGACGCCGCGUGAGUGAAGAAGUAUUUCGGUACGUAAAGCUCUAUCAGCAGGGAAGAAAAUGACGGUACCUGACUAAGAAGCCCCGGCUAACUACGUGCCAGCAGCCGCGGUAAUACGUAGGGGGCAAGCGUUAUCCGGAUUUACUGGGUGUAAAGGGAGCGUAGACGGCAGCGCAAGUCUGGAGUGAAAUCCCAUGGCUUAACCAUGGAACUGCUUUGGAAACUGUGCAGCUAGAGUGCAGGAGAGGUAAGCGGAAUUCCUAGUGUAGCGGUGAAAUGCGUAGAUAUUAGGAGGAACACCAGUGGCGAAGGCGGCUUACUGGACUGUAACUGACGUUGAGGCUCGAAAGCGUGGGGAGCAAACAGGAUUAGAUACCCCAGUAGUC
Molecule: ribosomal RNA, 440 nt
Filed under: uncultured bacterium
Lineage: Bacteria
Description: partial 16S ribosomal RNA
Rfam family: Bacterial small subunit ribosomal RNA
Source: RNAcentral